AGCGAGAGGUGAGCUGGCAUAGGGUGUAGGGUUUUGGAAAAAACGGUUAGAAAUGAGGGAUGGAGGGAGGUUUAUUNGAUUGGGGAUCAUCUAUCAGCAGAGGAGGAGGAGCUAGCAAAAAGGAGAGGUAACCAUCAUCGCCGGUAAAAAGCCUACAAGACUCCGGGGAGGUAAGUGUAUUUUGUUCACACUGUUUAUGCUUACUGCAUUGCAUCUUACGCCUGAUAUCAUUGGGCCUGAAUGUGAAUAUGAUGUGAAUAUCCUUGUUCCUUCAUCAUCAUCCCAAGAGCUCAUCAUGAAAUGAAUUUCUAUCCGUAUGAUAAUGGCCAUCAUCAUUAGCCUGGCUAUGCUACGAUGUCUCUUCAAUCCGCUGCCUUCCUCCCUCACCACCCUAUUCGAAUUAUUCCAGACUUGUUAUCACAUCCCCUAUCACCAUCAAUCCUCACAUAUAACACUCCAAUAACGACCAUCAUUAACUCAAUGACUUCACCUUCACCAUGUUUCUAGGAUCAUCAAUGAACCAUCAUUCCCUCCAUGACCCAACGNUGUUUACCUGCAAGAAAAGGAACCAGCCAAAUAUACAAAUGCAAGCCACAGAAAUACGGCCAUAACCCAAAAAUACAGUUUCCAAUCCCUCAUCAUCAUCCAUUCGAACCCACCCAAAAAAUAGAAUGAAACAGGGGUAGUGAAACCCCUCUGUCUGGUACAAAAAUCACAAAUCCAUUCCAC
Molecule: long non-coding RNA, 729 nt
Filed under: Vigna radiata
Lineage: Eukaryota; Viridiplantae; Streptophyta; Magnoliopsida; Fabales; Fabaceae
Description: long non-coding RNA (VRAD_LNC014286)
Source: RNAcentral